UACGUAGGGUGCGAGCGUUGUCCGGAAUUAUUGGGCGUAAAGAGCUCGUAGGCGGUUUGUCGCGUCGGCUGUGAAAACCCGGGGCUCAACCCCGGGCCUGCAGUCGAUACGGGCAGACUAGAGUGAUGUAGGGGAGACUGGAAUUCCUGGUGUAGCGGUGAAAUGCGCAGAUAUCAGGAGGAACACCGAUGGCGAAGGCAGGUCUCUGGGCAUUAACUGACGCUGAGGAGCGAAAGCAUGGGGAGCGAACAGG
This 253-nucleotide ribosomal RNA is filed under the name uncultured bacterium. RNAcentral's name for it is "partial 16S ribosomal RNA". It matches the Rfam family "Bacterial small subunit ribosomal RNA", at positions 524 to 776 of the family's 1533-position model. The record is from RNAcentral.